CUACGGGCUGCUCCAGUGAGGAAUAUUGCACAAUGGGGGGAACCCUGAUGCAGCAACGCCGCGUGGAGGAUGACGCAUUUCGGUGUGUAAACUCCUUUUAUAUGUCAAGAAAAUGACGGUAGCAUAUGAAUAAGCACCGGCUAACUCCGUGCCAGCAGCCGCGGUAAUACGGAGGGUGCAAGCGUUACCCGGAAUCACUGGGCGUAAAGGACGCGUAGGCGGGUUGGAAAGUCAGGUGUGAAAUCCUACAGCUUAACUGUAGAACUGCACUUGAAACUUCUAGUCUAGAGUAUGGGAGGGGGAGAUGGAAUUAGUGGUGUAGGGGUAAAAUCCGUAGAUAUCACUAGGAAUACCUAAAGCGAAGGCGAUCUCCUGGAACAUUACUGACGCUAAGGCGUGAAAGCGUGGGGAGCAAACAGGAUUAGAUACCCCGGUAGUC
Molecule: ribosomal RNA, 439 nt
Filed under: uncultured bacterium
Lineage: Bacteria
Description: partial 16S ribosomal RNA
Rfam family: Bacterial small subunit ribosomal RNA
Source: RNAcentral